AGGAAACGUAUGAUUGGUUGGAUCAGUACGUGUGAUUCAACCCGAGUAUGCAUGAAAAGGAAUUAAUGCCUUAUGUGUCAUGGUCAUAACAAAGAAAUGAGGCCUGAUGGAUAAUUUACGAAAAACUCCUGUAAGCGUGGGAGUCCAAUGAUCCACACAGAAAUGUUAGCUGGUUUCAUGCCCUUGAUGUAAUAAGUGAUACCUUAAAAUAGCAAUGAAAAUGGUCUGUCUAUUUAAACUAGCAACUAUU
Molecule: non-coding RNA, 250 nt
Organism: Pelobates cultripes (western spadefoot toad)
Lineage: Eukaryota; Metazoa; Chordata; Amphibia; Anura; Pelobatidae
Source: the annotation of a GenBank genome assembly